Molecule: unclassified non-coding RNA, 344 nt
Filed under: soil metagenome
Description: partial contains 5.8S ribosomal RNA, internal transcribed spacer 2, and large subunit ribosomal RNA
Rfam family: 5.8S ribosomal RNA (bases 1-120)
Source: RNAcentral
GAUGAAGAACGUAGCGAAAUGCGAUAAGUAAUGUGAAUUGCAGAAUUCAGUGAAUCAUCGAAUCUUUGAACGCACAUUGCGCCCGCCAGUAUUCUGGCGGGCAUGCCUGUUCGAGCGUCAUUUCAACCCUCAAGCCCCCGGGCUUGGUGUUGGGGAUCGGCGUGCCCUCGCGGCGCGCCGUCCCCUAAAUCUAGUGGCGGUCUCGCUGUAGCUUCCUCUGCGUAGUAGCAACACUCGCACUGGAUCGCAGCGCGGCCACGCCGUUAAACCCCCCACUUCUGAAAGUUUGACCUCAGAUCAGGUAGGAAUACCCGCUGAACUUAAGCAUAUCAAUAAGCGGAGGA